Molecule: ribosomal RNA, 439 nt
Filed under: uncultured bacterium
Lineage: Bacteria
Description: partial 16S ribosomal RNA
Rfam family: Bacterial small subunit ribosomal RNA
Source: RNAcentral
CUACGGGUUGCAGCAGUGAGGAAUAUUGCACAAUGGGGGGAACCCUGAUGCAGCAACGCCGCGUGGAGGAUGACGCAUUUCGGUGUGUAAACUCCUUUUAUAUGUCAAGAAAAUGACGGUAGCAUAUGAAUAAGCACCGGCUAACUCCGUGCCAGCAGCCGCGGUAAUACGGAGGGUGCAAGCGUUACUCGGAAUCACUGGGCGUAAAGGAUGCGUAGGCGGGUUGGAAAGUCAGGUGUGAAAUCCUACAGCUUAACUGUAGAACUGCACUUGAAACUUCUAAUCUAGAGUAUGGGAGGGGGAGAUGGAAUUAGUGGUGUAGGGGUAAAAUCCGUAAAUAUCACUAGGAAUACCUAAAGCGAAGGCGAUCUCCUGGAACAUUACUGACGCUAAGGCGUGAAAGCGUGGGGAGCAAACAGGAUUAGAUACCCGGGUAGUC